AAGCAUUCUGGAGAUGGACGGUGGUGAUGGCUGCACAAUAAUCUAAAUCAAUGCAGGACCUUCUGUGUAAGGCACCUAAGUAGCUGCAAAGCUACUUGGGAAAUGGAGGAAGGCAGAGGUCCAAUUACGCACACCCCACAGCAGGCACCACAGUCCAGCAGAGGCCAGCGCCGUGUUCUAACAGCUAAGCGUCGCAGGUCUAAAGGAUACAGGCUGCAGGACGUGUGUGUCUUCUCUACACCAGGUGCUCUCUGGGGCUGCUCACCCAGGGGGAGUGCCCAGGCGUAAGCCAAACUCUGUCCCAGCACGGGGAGGUGACCCACUGAGCAGACGGCUGGGCAGGACCAAGCCAAGGUGUGAGAGGAGGGAAGACUGGACCCAUGGGGGGAGGAUGGGAGUCAGGUACCUGCCCCAAGGACCAAGAGCCAGCCUUGGCUCGUUGUGGCCACCGCAGGCCCGGGAUAGGGUGUUGGCACCUGGGGCACUUGGGACACUGGGAGAUGAGACCAGAGUGGGUCUGCCCACAUCAUCUCCCACGAGCGGGCAGCUCCUGGCCAGCAGAGACCUGGGUAGGAGGGCUGGACAGUGGGCUUGGUGCCCUUUGUCCUGCAGGCCUCUGCACAGGCGUUUUCUCACUACCCACAAGAAAGACUGCUGCUCAGAGAGGCUCUGGAAAACAGCUUAGCUGUGCUUCUCUCUGCAGGAGGUGGCGUGCAGCCAUAGUACUGCCUCUUUCUCUGAGGGCCCCUCUAGGAAGCACAUCUAUCCUGAAGGUCGGGCCGUGGAGUAGGGUGACCCAAGGAGACAGCCGAGGGGAAGUGAGGUUAGGGCUAGAGCUGGGAUUUGAGUCCAGGUCCUCUGGGGGAGCAGGCAGGGCGGGGCCAGAGCCAGCCUGUGCCAGCUGGUUUCCUCCACAGGCGGGUAGCCCUGGUGUCUGCAGGAGGCUCAGAGAAGGAAACAAGUGUGUUCUUUUUUUUUUAAAAAAUAAAUUUAUUUAUUUAUUUUUGGC
Molecule: long non-coding RNA, 1009 nt
Organism: Aethalodelphis obliquidens (Pacific white-sided dolphin)
Lineage: Eukaryota; Metazoa; Chordata; Mammalia; Artiodactyla; Delphinidae
Exons: 2
Source: RefSeq, a predicted model, not a curated record